RNAcentral lists this microRNA precursor (75 nucleotides) under Jaculus jaculus (lesser Egyptian jerboa). RNAcentral describes it as "miRNA (ENSJJAG00000003108.1)". The record is from RNAcentral. Lineage: Eukaryota; Metazoa; Chordata; Mammalia; Rodentia; Dipodidae.
CUGUUAAGCCAUCUCUCCAGCCAUUAACUUAUUUUUUAAAAUAUUUUUAUUGGGCUGGAGAGAUGGCUCAGCAGU